GAUACACAAAGCCGGUGAGUUUCUUUUUUUUUUCCUGAUUAGCUGUGGAAAAUGGGCUGCAUAACUCUCAAAAAAAUGUUCAAUGGACCCCGUCUUGAUCCCAACGUCAAUCCGCUAUAAUAACCUGCUUCCCAUUUCUGAGACGCCACAGAGGCAUUCUUUUGGCCUGUCGGUCCCACUGGACAAACAGGCUCGAUGGGACUCCUCCACCAGCUUGAUCGCAUCCCUGUCCACCAACGGCGAGGGGGAUCGGCACCACGGCAGCCAUCAACCACCUUGCAGCCUCAGCUUCAGACGGCCGCCUCACUCGGUCUCGGAGGCGCGGAACAUGGUCCACCCGGACUCCGUGCCCCCGGGAUGUAGCUGAGGUUCUGCCAGAUUUGGUAGAACCUCCUGCCAGACAUUCUAAACAGACUCUCACAGACCCGCUAGUCACCAGGCGCUCACCAUCGAGCCCCAACUCCGGUGAACCGCCUCCAGGGUGAUGAAGACCGGCGUCUGUUCAUCUUACUCUUAACAGGGUUGAAUUUGACCAAUACUUUGUCCCACCUGGGACCUGUUUACUUUGGUUGACCUUACCAGGGGCAUGAGGUCUCAGGCUUUGCUCAGCGUAUCAAUCCCCUAACAGUCAUGGUUCUGCCGGUCCAGCCCGGGCUGUGCGUGUUCCCGCACAGUCGCACUGAUUAAGAGGCGUACACCUGCGCCUCACGCUGGCUGAUUGACUCCGGUAAAUACAGUACCCAAGGGACGACUGGUGCUCGCCAGAUCGUCGCAACUCAUGCCCCGUUCCUGCACUCCCGUAUCUCUGAUCGUAAACCCAUUUCCCGUGUACCGACUCCUGCCUGCCCGCGGACCUGCUCCCUACGCCCGACGUCCUGACUACCGCUGCCGCACUUGACAGUCUACCCGAUCCCCGACCUUGGAACGAAUAAACAUGUUUCCCAAAAUGCCUCCGCGUCUCCGGAGUCCUGCAUUUGGGUCCUCCUCCGUCUCGAUGGGUCGUGACAGUAACCAUGAUGAGUGGUGAUGACUCAGCACCUUGUCAAGGCCUCUUCCUGUUUGCGAAAUGUGCAAAACUUGGCCUCGGCGGCGCAUUCGCACGGCCUCGGACGUGCACAUCUGGAAGGCCUGGCUCGGAGCUUCGGCGCCGACGGCGCGCCAAAUUCAACAGCCCUCGCGCAUCAUUCCUCUGUCGUCAUGGCGAUCUCAGUGUGCUCGCAACCCGACGGACGGACGCGGCUCGGGGGGGGGGGCGUCAAAACCUUCAACGGCAUCCGUAUCCGGCACUCGUUACGUGUAAUUAGACACGAGCUGAAUAUAAAAUGACAGCAAAUUGCUACUUGUUGUCAGAUUACGUGUCGGAAUACACAAAGUACUGUUAUUACACGUGAAUGACAGCUAAAUCGGGUUUGUCCCUCACGGCGAAGAACUUAUUUUCUUCCGUCAAAAGAAAAGAAAAAAAUCCUAUCAUCUCAGCACGGAUUGUUUUUGCGCAGGUGAGAUGCA
Molecule: long non-coding RNA, 1506 nt
Organism: Syngnathoides biaculeatus (alligator pipefish)
Lineage: Eukaryota; Metazoa; Chordata; Actinopteri; Syngnathiformes; Syngnathidae
Exons: 3
Source: RefSeq, a predicted model, not a curated record